GAGUUUGAUCAUGGCUCAGAGUGAACGCUGGCGGCGUGCUUAACACAUGCAAGUCGAACGAGAACGGGCCUAGCUUGCUAGGCUGUCAGCUAAGUGGCGGACGGGUGAGUAAUGUAUAGUUAAUCUGCCCUUUAGAGGGGGAUAACAGUUAGAAAUGACUGCUAAUACCUCAUACUCCUUUUACCUUAAUGGUAAUUGGGAAAUGUUUUUUCGCUAAAGGAUGAGACUAUAUGGUAUCAGGUAGUUGGUGGGGUAAGAGCCCACCAAGCCAAUGACGCCUAGCUGGUCUGAGAGGAUGAUCAGCCACACUGGAACUGAGACACGGUCCAGACUCCUACGGGAGGCAGCAGUGGGGAAUAUUGCACAAUGGAGGAAACUCUGAUGCAGCAACGCCGCGUGGAGGAUGACACAUUUCGGUGCGUAAACUCCUUUUAUAUGGGAAGAUAAUGACGGUACCAUAUGAAUAAGCACCGGCUAACUCCGUGCCAGCAGCCGCGUAAUACG
RNAcentral lists this ribosomal RNA (504 nucleotides) under uncultured Campylobacterota bacterium. RNAcentral describes it as "bacterial SSU rRNA". It matches the Rfam family "Bacterial small subunit ribosomal RNA", at positions 9 to 527 of the family's 1533-position model. The record is from RNAcentral. Lineage: Bacteria; Pseudomonadati; Campylobacterota.